Molecule: unclassified non-coding RNA, 389 nt
Filed under: Hevea brasiliensis (rubber tree)
Lineage: Eukaryota; Viridiplantae; Streptophyta; Magnoliopsida; Malpighiales; Euphorbiaceae
Source: RNAcentral
GUUCAAUGUUAGAAGAUGUUGGGGCAACAUUGCAUUUGUCUUGGAACAAUGUGUCAAAUCUGAACCACAUAUCUGGCUCUAGUGCAAUUUCAAGUUGCUAAAUGCAAUAUAUUUUCGUUCACGAAGAGCGGUGUAACGUCUUGUUUUUCUCCAUUGUGAUAAAAAGACGAUGAACUAAUGGUCAUUAUUCUCACAGGGCGCACCUUUAUUGUUGAAUAAGUAUGUAUCAUGUGCAUGAAGUUGAGAAAUCAGCUUAUAACCGGGGUGUGAUGCGAAGGGGAUCCCAAGGAGUUGUGAUAUGGCUACGACUAAUUUCCUUGAUUGAGAGACAACCACUUAAGGCCAUUGUCAGUUCAAACUCAUCAUGAAGCAUCUGAAGUACUUUCCUA